This 444-nucleotide ribosomal RNA is filed under the name uncultured bacterium. RNAcentral describes it as "bacterial SSU rRNA". It matches the Rfam family "Bacterial small subunit ribosomal RNA", at positions 1 to 420 of the family's 1533-position model. The record is from RNAcentral.
GGUACUCGCGAAUGCCUCUAGAUUAGACGUUUGAUCAUGGCUCAGACUGAGACCGCUUGGCGUGCAAUGCUUAACACAUGCAAGUCGAGCGGGGAAGUGGUAGCUUGCUACCUGACCUAGCGGCGGACGGGUGAGUAAUGCUUAGGAAUCUGCCUAUUAGUGGGGGACAACAUCUCGAAAGGGAUGCUAAUACCGCAUACGUCCUACGGGAGAAAGCAGGGGAUCUUCGGACCUUGCGCUAAUAGAUGAGCCUAAGUCGGAUUAGCUAGUUGGUGGGGUAAAGGCCUACCAAGGCGACGAUCUGUAGCGGGUCUGAGAGGAUGAUCCGCCACACUGGGACUGAGACACGGCCCAGACUCCUACGUGGAGGCAGCAGUGGGGAAUAUUUGGACAAUUGGGGGGAACCCGGAUCCAGCCAUGCCGCGUGUGUGAAGAAGCUUUGGU